UGGGCUGCCUCAGUCAUGCCAUG
RNAcentral lists this microRNA (23 nucleotides) under Alligator mississippiensis (American alligator). Its description in RNAcentral is "ami-miR-1791-5p". Lineage: Eukaryota; Metazoa; Chordata; Crocodylia; Alligatoridae. The record is from miRBase by way of RNAcentral.